GAUGAACGCUGGCGGCGUGCAUAACACAUUCAAGUCGAACGGACUUUGGGACUUCGGUCCUGAAGUUAGUGGCGGACGGGUGAGUAACGCGUGAGCAACCUGCCUUUGAUAGGGGGAUAACAGAGGGAAACUUCUGCUAAUACCGCAUAACGCAUCGAGGUCGCAUGGCUUUGAUGCCAAAGAUACGUCGAUCAAAGAUGGGCUCGCGUCCGAUUAGGUAGUUGGUGAGGUAACGGCUCACCAAGGCCACGAUGCAUAGCCGACCUGAGAGGGUGAUCGGCCACACUGGGACUGAGACACGGCCCAG
RNAcentral lists this ribosomal RNA (307 nucleotides) under uncultured bacterium. Its description in RNAcentral is "bacterial SSU rRNA". It matches the Rfam family "Bacterial small subunit ribosomal RNA", at positions 28 to 334 of the family's 1533-position model. The record is from RNAcentral.